CGCAUCGUUCAAAUCUGAAAUCCAGCCGACUGGAGCAGUGCCAGAACGAUUGAAGAUUAGAGGCUUUAUUCAUAAUUCCUGGUGCAAAGAAUAGCAGCUGAUGUGGAGAAAUGUUUGAUGCUUCAAGACUCUCUGAAGCUGAUUAUAUUAGGUGCACCCAGUGGCUUUUGACUAGGCCUAUUCGAG
This is a long non-coding RNA of Onychostoma macrolepis, 186 nucleotides long. RefSeq lists it as uncharacterized. The transcript is spliced from 3 exons. NCBI's taxonomy places the organism in Eukaryota, Metazoa, Chordata, Actinopteri, Cypriniformes, Cyprinidae. The record is from RefSeq and is a predicted model, not a curated record.